Molecule: long non-coding RNA, 577 nt
Organism: Neltuma alba
Lineage: Eukaryota; Viridiplantae; Streptophyta; Magnoliopsida; Fabales; Fabaceae
Exons: 3
Source: RefSeq, a predicted model, not a curated record
CAACAUUUUGUUUGGAGGAACUUGUAAAGAUUUUGGAUUGCUUCAAGGAAGAAGGCCGGUUGAUAUAUCCAAUCUUCUAUUAUGUGGAGCCAUUAGAAUUGCGACGACCAAGAGGAAACUACGCAGAGGCAUUGGCUCGAUUGGAGGAACGAUUUAAAGAUAACAAGCUGAAGGUGGAGAAAUAGAAGAGGGCUUUGUCUGAAGCUGCUGAACUCAAAGGCUGUCAUCUAAAACCAAAGAAACUAACAAGGUUGAAGCCAUAAUUCUAGAUUUACCAAAAGGUAUGGAAGUACAAUGGAGUGGAGAGGCAUUCAUGAAGAUAAAAAUCUUAAAAUGCUUGUGAUAAGAAAAGCAUGAUUUUCCAAAUGUCCCAAACAUCUCCCAGACAGUUUAAGGUGGUUGGAAUGGAAAGAAUUUCCUUUCAAAUUUUUAGCAUAUCAUAUGCGCCCAACAGAGCUUGUUUAUCUAGACUAGUCUUUUAGUUAUUGUGAAUUGCUCCAACCAUUUGAUAAGCAAAUUCAGCAUAUUCCAGGGAUGCCACCAAACUUGGAAAAAUUCAGUGCCAUAUGUUGCAAGU